UCCACUCACUACUGUAAAUUGCUCUGGAUAAGAGCAUCUGCUAAAUUACGAAAA
Molecule: non-coding RNA, 54 nt
Organism: Salmo salar (Atlantic salmon)
Lineage: Eukaryota; Metazoa; Chordata; Actinopteri; Salmoniformes; Salmonidae
Source: Rfam